UUUGACCUCAAAUCAGGUAGGAUUACCCGCUGAACUUAAGCAUAUCAAUAAGCGGAGGAAAAGAAACCAACAGGGAUUGUCUUAGUAACGGCGAGUGAAGCGACAAAAGCUCAAAUUUGAAAUCUGGCACCUUCGGUGUCCGAGUUGUAAUUUGAAAAAGGUAACUUUGGGAGUUGGGCUCUUGUCUAUGUUCCUUGGGAACAGG
Molecule: ribosomal RNA, 205 nt
Filed under: Scheffersomyces shehatae
Lineage: Eukaryota; Fungi; Ascomycota; Pichiomycetes; Serinales; Debaryomycetaceae
Description: partial 26S ribosomal RNA
Rfam family: Eukaryotic large subunit ribosomal RNA
Source: RNAcentral